GAAUUCUUUAUUAAAAUUAAUUUUUGUUUAACAUGUACACAAGAUGAUCCUAAUCAAGUUCUGAAAAUGUAUCUUGGUAGGUGGGUAUUUUAAAUUUUAAUUUGAGUUAUGAUUAAGGCCAUUUCUCUAGAGUACCUACCUACUUUAGAAAUAGGUAAAAAUAAAAGAUGUUAUUUUAUCUAUUAAGAUAUUGCCUAUAAUAAACAAUUGUUUUAUUUAAUUCAAUUAAUCAAGUGUUAAUGGCUGGUAAACCAUCUAUAAAGCAUAACACUAUUUUUUUUUACUUUCAUACAGAUUUGAUACACAGAAACAAAUCGGUGUUUCUGUUACAAUUGUACCGCACCACUGUACCUUUCAUCAAUGAAAUAUUAUAAAUCAGCGGCCUAUAUUUGUCACCGAUCGCCUCACACACAC
This is a non-coding RNA of Cinara cedri, 414 nucleotides long. The record is from the annotation of a GenBank genome assembly. NCBI's taxonomy places the organism in Eukaryota, Metazoa, Arthropoda, Insecta, Hemiptera, Aphididae.